This 484-nucleotide ribosomal RNA is filed under the name uncultured bacterium. RNAcentral's name for it is "partial 16S ribosomal RNA". It matches the Rfam family "Bacterial small subunit ribosomal RNA", at positions 30 to 507 of the family's 1533-position model. The record is from RNAcentral.
AUUGAACGCUGGCGGCAGGCCUAACACAUGCAAGUCGAGCGGAUGAAGGGAGCUUGCUCCUGGAUUCAGCGGCGGACGGGUGAGUAAUGCCUAGGAAUCUGCCUGGUAGUGGGGGAUAACGUCCGGAAACGGGCGCUAAUACCGCAUACGUCCUGAGGGAGAAAGUGGGGGAUCUUCGGACCUCACGCUAUCAGAUGAGCCUAGGUCGGAUUAGCUAGUUGGUGGGGUAAAGGCCUACCAAGCCGACGAUCCGUAACUGGUCUGAGAGGAUGAUCAGUCACACUGGAACUGAGACACGGUCCAGACUCCUACGGGAGGCAGCAGUGGGGAAUAUUGGACAAUGGGCGGAAGCCUGAUCCAGCCAUGCCGCGUGUGUGAAGAAGGUCUUCGGAUUGUAAAGCACUUUAAGUUGGGAGGAAGGGCAGUAAGUUAAUACCUUGCUGUUUUGACGUUACCAACAGAAUAAGCACCGGCUAACUUCGUG